Molecule: transfer RNA, 77 nt
Filed under: 'Fragaria x ananassa' phyllody phytoplasma
Lineage: Bacteria; Bacillati; Mycoplasmatota; Mollicutes; Acholeplasmatales; Acholeplasmataceae
Description: tRNA-OTHER
Rfam family: tRNA
About the family: Transfer RNA (tRNA) molecules are approximately 80 nucleotides in length. Their secondary structure includes four short double-helical elements and three loops (D, anti-codon, and T loops). Further hydrogen bonds mediate the characteristic L-shaped molecular structure. tRNAs have two regions of fundamental functional importance: the anti-codon, which is responsible for specific mRNA codon recognition, and the 3' end, to which the tRNAs corresponding amino acid is attached (by aminoacyl-tRNA synthetases). tRNAs cope with the degeneracy of the genetic code in two manners: having more than one tRNA (with a specific anti-codon) for a particular amino acid; and 'wobble' base-pairing, i.e. permitting non-standard base-pairing at the 3rd anti-codon position.
Source: RNAcentral
AGAGGAUUAGCUCAUUUGGGAGAGUAUCUUUCUUAUAAGCAUAAUGUCGGGGGAUUCUAACUCCUCAUCCUCUACCA